CUAUCUUUAGUUACCAUCAUUCAGUUGGGGACUCUAAAGAUACUGCCCCGGUUAACGGGGAGGAAGGUGGGGAUGACGUCAAGUCCUCAUGGCCUUUAUGCCCAGGGCUACACACGUGCUACAAUGGGCUGUACAAAGGGUUGCAAGCCCGCGAGGUGAGCUAAUCCCAGAAAGCAGCUCGUAGUUCGGAUUGGAGUCUGCAACUCGACUCCAUGAAGCUGGAAUCGCUAGUAAUCGUGGAUCAGCAUGCCACGGUGAAUACGUUCCCGGGCCUU
RNAcentral lists this ribosomal RNA (275 nucleotides) under uncultured bacterium. Its description in RNAcentral is "partial 16S ribosomal RNA". It matches the Rfam family "Bacterial small subunit ribosomal RNA", at positions 1105 to 1382 of the family's 1533-position model. The record is from RNAcentral.